AUUGAACGCUGGCGGCAGGCCUAACACAUGCAAGUCGAGCGGAUGAAGGGAGCUUGCUCCUGGAUUCAGCGGCGGACGGGUGGGUAAUUCCUAGGAAUCUGCCUGGUAGUGGGGGAUAACGUCCGGAAACGGGCGCUAAUACCGCAUACGUCCUGAGGGAGAAAGGGGGGGAUCUUCGGACCUCACGCUAUCAGAUGAGCCUAGGUCGGAUUAUCUAGUUGGUGGGGUAAAGGCCUACCAAGGCGACGAUCCGUAACUGGUCUGAGAGGAUGAUCAGUCAAACUGGAACUGAGACACGGUCCAGACUCCUACGGGAGGCAGCAGUGGGGAAUAUUGGACAAUGGGCGAAAGCCUGAUCCAGCCAUGCCGCGUGUGUGAAGAAGGUCUUCGGAUUGUAAAGCCCUUUAAGUUGGGAGGAAGGGCAGUAAGUUAAUACCUUGCUGUUUUGACGUUACCAACAGAAUAAGCACCGGCUAACUUCGUG
This 484-nucleotide ribosomal RNA is filed under the name uncultured bacterium. Its description in RNAcentral is "partial 16S ribosomal RNA". It matches the Rfam family "Bacterial small subunit ribosomal RNA", at positions 30 to 507 of the family's 1533-position model. The record is from RNAcentral.